AGUAAUAAUAACAAUAAUAAUAAUAAAUAAACAAACAAACCGGUUUCCUUCGUCUCCAAAAUCAAGUUAGAUUCUUAUAUAUAUAGAUUUCGCUUAUCACGUUAUUUUUGAUAUAGCAUGCAUUCUAGCUGCAUCCUUCUGUAUUUUGGUAAAACGCAAUGUGUUGGUGCAUUGGUUGCGGUCAUAUUCAGUGAAUAUAUAUUUGCAGUAUUUACAACGAAUAUAGGGAACCGCACGUGCGUCAUAAAAAUGGAGGAGGAGGACUCUAAAGUGUUUUUGUUCGAUAACGCUGCCGCGGUCUAUGAUCACGACUUUACUGCGUUUUUAAAUGGGACGCCUAAAAGCAGCAGCUUAUCUUUUACGACAGGAGCUCCCCUUGUCGUAUAUAUUCCCGGAUUGCUAGUGGCGCGUGUAACUAUGUAGACUUUGUCCAAGCACCGACGGAGUUGUCAAGAAACUUUUGGGAACUAUAAAAAUGGCUAAACGUUUUCAGUUUUCCAUCGCUGCGUUUAUUAUUACUUACACUUUUCAGUUUUAUCCAAUUUUUUGCCCUUUAUUCGAGAUCCUGCAGUAGCCGCGGGUUUUGGCCGAACACUGAUUCAAAAAGCAAAUGUCCGCGAGCCAAUCUAAUAUAAUAUAUUAUAGUAUAGUUUAACUAUACGCGCUAGGGAUUGGCAAGGAAAGUAGGUACUUGAAAAAAACUAACUACAGGUUACAUUAAACAUGAGACAAAUUAUAGAUAGACAAAAGAUAAGUUUUUUUAUAUUUAGGUAUAAAGUAUAAAAUACUUUAACAGUAGUUAAAGUUCCUUAAGAUAGGUACAAGAUUAUACAUUUUUUAAAGUUAUUAUUGUAGUAAGUAAAAUUUCUAAAAUAUAAUGUGCUUCAAUAUUAUUUAUUUAACUUAGUGUACAGAGUUAUAAUAUAUACAUUUUAGGUAAUUAUACAUUUAUAAUACUCAAACCUGGAGGGAGACGAGUGACGAUAAUAUAUCUAAGAGCUCCAGAUGAUGAAAACAACUUUAUAAAGUUACCAUCUUCGAUAUACAUUACUAGUCCAGGCAAAUUAGAUAAAUGUAAGCUUUUAAAAAAGCAGGAAAGCUGAAUUUUGGUAUAUACACCUUUAUUGAAGGGUAUACUUAAUAACAUACUAAAAGUCCCCUAAGAUUUGGUGACCGCUACCUCCGUUAGAGCGCGCGUUGUGUAAGAAAAAACCGUUUUUUCAAAUAACUGGGUUAUUUUGAAGAUUAUAAGAAAUAUACCUAUAUACUACCUAUAUUAUAGAAGAGGUAAUAAAAAUGUACGGCAUUGACUGUCAGGCAUUGUGACUAACACAGUUUUUUCUUUGUAUUAUAUUUUUAUGAAUGAAUAAUUUAUUGUUUUAUAAUUAUCAUGAUAUUAAUUUGAAUGAUAAUGUUACAAGUAAAUAAUUUAUAAUUAUAAUCUAAACAUAAAAUAACUAUUAUAUGUAGAGGUAGCUAUAUAAUAAUAAAAAUUAAUAUUGAUUAAUACCGGUAUGUCUUACAAUUAUGGCUACUGCUUGACAAACUAUUAAUUUAAAUAAAACUUAAUUUAUAAUAAAAUAUUAAAAUAUCACUUAAUUUUAUUGAAAUUUGAUUCGUUUAUUAUGAAAUCUAAAUAAAACUUUGAUUCUAACCAUUGUUCUGUAAAUGGUAGAACUAAUGAUUUCAUAGAGUUUCAGGGAAUGGUACUUCAGCUAUUAUAAACGAUGGGCUUUACACACAAAAUGUAAUAUGUGAUAUAGGUAACCUAUUCAUGUUACAUUAUGCAAUAUCAUCAUUACAUAAUAUUUUAUUGUUAAUUUUUUUUUAUUGCUACCUAUUUUGAAAAAUUUACAUUUUAUUUAAUAACAACAGAUAAAACACAGACCUCGGGAGCUUAACUUUUAGAGCCUCAAUUACAAAAUGUCAGGAGGUGCACUGUAGGCACACCAGACGCCCCUCUGCGUACACCUAUAUGGAUGCAUGAUACAAAUAUAUAAUAAUAUCUAUGUGAGAUGCCUAUCACUGUUAUACGCGUACUGCGUAGUUUAAAUGGAGGACGCUAUAAUAUGUACAAUGUGACGAGUGAACGAUUUUAAUCCCUUAGAGACUACCCUAGUCGGGCUUUAUUGUGCAUGGUGUCGCGGACUUAUAAGCUUCCCUUUUCGCAUAAUAUAUAAUAUAGCAUGAAGCGUGAGGCGUCCUGUGCUACUCGCACGUCAAUAUUUGAAGGAAUGGAGGAGUCGUCGAUAAAAAUGUAUAUUUACCUAUACGUAAUAUACGUAUAUGUGUAUAACGUAUAUUUAUAUUAUAUACUUAGUACAGAGCGAGCUGAAAUGCGUUGUUAUAACGGAAUUUAAUACUAUAAAUUAUCUUAUAUUUGUGUAUACGUAACUAGGUACUUCUGGAAAUGAUUUAAAAAUAAGACGAAUUCCGUAUAUAACUUACUUUAUAUUUUAUAGAAUAAUUUUCUGGUAUCUAUGUAUAUAUUUGCAGUUAGCUCAAAUUUAUUUAGAACUUCAUCAAAUUGUAAUUAAAAAAGCGUACAAACGUUGAGAAGUAUACUAUUAUUUUUGUUUUUUUGUCGGUAAAUUUUGUAUCAUCUCCUCUCGAUUUUGUAUAGAACUGGCCCCGUCGUAAUUAUAAUAUCGUUAUAAAUCAGAGAGGAACGUCGACUUUGAAUAAUAAUAGUGUAUAAAUAAGAUUAACGUUUCGACACAGCGGAGGAAUAUCUUCCGUCGUCACGACUGUACAUCAUGAUUCAUGAUAAUAUUAUAAUAUUAAUAAGACGUGAUGCCCGCAUGACGUGUUGUCUCCAAGUUUACAAGCUUAACCUACAAUAUACCAAAUAUUACAGUUUUAAUAUUACCUACAGCAAAUAAAUUGAACUAUUUCCAUCAAAUUUAAUGGUAAGAAUAUUACUUGCAAGUUGCAGUAUUCUCUUUUUGGUUUUUCUACGAUAUUUUAAUUUUAUAGCGAGUGUUAUUAUACAUUAUAAUUUAUAAGUAUGUAAAAUAUUUAAGCUUAAAAAUGCUCAUAAUAAUCGCGUAAAAUUAAAAUAACAAAAAAAAAAACUGACGAGAGAUAAUAUUUUUACCUAUACAUUUUAUGACAAGUAAUUUCUCUAAAAUUGCCGCAUCACAAAACUGUCCCCAUGUAGCUGAACUUAAAUUUGUUCAUAUAUUAUGUUGUGUGUUUGUAAACCGCGGACACAAUUAUUACAUACGCCUUCAUAUUUUAUAUAUUAUGUAUUCUUUUUUAUUAAUUUUGUAAUUGACUAAGGUAAUAUAAUAUAUAUUAUGUUAGGUAUAACAUUUUAUUUUAUUUUUUCACAGUCGGAUGUAAUAAAUAUGAUCAUUAGAACCACAGUUUUGAAUUCAAUUAUAUUUUAAAAAAAUGUUUAGUUUAGUUUUUCUAGUUGUACAUUUUAAAUAAAACUAUAAAAUAAUAGCAGCGCCAGGAUAAUAUUAUACAGGGAGGUUGUGCAAGCGUUCUUUUUUCCGUGCAUCCGAUCUGUCGUCACUCGCGUGCGUAUUUGUAUUUGUUCCUGGUGGAAUGUGUCUCACCGUGGCAGCUGUUUCUAUCACUCUCUCUCUCUCCUCUUGACCACUCUCCCGAACACACCCUUCUGACCAAUUUCCCGCUAUAGCUCAAUAGUUUAUUUUUCAAAGUCGAAACCGCCACCCUCUUCCACAAUUUGUGAUUUGCCGGAGAACCGGGAAACGCACAUCGCGAUGAGGGUCGUGAUGUGCGACGCGAAAGAUGCACUGCGACACCGGAGCUCUGUCGAGUAAAAAAUUAUACUACGCGUCGCGCACUCAAUAGUACGGUUUGGGUUUGUACCGAUAUGGUGGUAGUGCUGCUGCGGCAGUUUUGUGUGUGCAUAUACCUACGACGAACUCGCUAACCAGCUGUUCUUGGUUUUUUGUUUUGGUUUUUGUUUAUGUUUGGAGAGGGACGCAAAAAAAAAACCGUACCCUAGUGUAAUUACGAUAAUGGCGCAUACGUAUAUGAUGUACGCAUAUUGUAUUAAGGAAAAUAGGAAAACGGGCGUCUGGUUUCUUAUAUACACUGCGUUUUACUCACAUCACCACCCGCGCGCGUUACACAUAUUAUUAUAAUAUUAUAAAACAUACAUACAAUAUGCGUGUGCCGCCGGACGUGCGAGUGAUGACGAUCCUUGUUGUCGUGUUAAUUAGUCGAGUGCUCCGCAUGCGUACAAAUAAAUUAUAAUAUAUACAUGCAGGGGGGUGUUUUGUUCGAUGAGUCAGUCCCCCCGAUGAUGACUUUUUGAACGAUACACAGUUAUUAAAAAGUGUUGGUAGUAUGUUAUUUGUUGGUUUAUUUUACCCAAACUAGGAAUAAAAAAAACUUAAACUGUUGUUUUUGUGUUAAUUUUUUAGAGUCGAUUUAUUAGUUGUUAUAUGGCUUACUAGAUUAGGUUACUGUGCACGCCUUUAUAGUUAGCUUUAUGCGUAUUGAAAGCACUUGCUAGUAUACGCAAGUCGAAAUAGAGUCUAGAUUGUUAUGAGAUACGAGAUAUUUGAAUAUUUCUUUUAUUUCCUGUAUGAUGUAUCUUGCGUACUGUAUCAUUCAAAUACAAAAAUAUAUAGUUAUAGUUAUAGUUUUAAAGUUUAGGCAGGAGGGUCAUACGAGGACAAGCGUAUGGACGGUAUACAGUACAGUGACGUAGCAAGGAUUUUACUUUAAGGGGUAUCGAUAAUUUAUUAUAUUAUAUCUGCAGAGACUUAUAACUAGGAUCCGUUCUAGUAAAGAUUUGGUCAUAAAUUUGGUACGAUAUGUUUUUAAUUUUGUCUCUUGUAGUCUGUAGGUACAUAAAUAAUUUUGUGGAGAAGACGCGUGACAUUGACACACUACCGCAACAAUGCAAUAGACUCUAAUAUCAAAUAUUCUAAUACUUUGUAAUAUACAGUUUUUUUAAAAACUAUAGUUUUAAUAACAUUAUAAGAUAACAAUUAAAAAUCUGUUAUUUUAGACUUGCAGCAACUUUCGUAUAUAAAUUACAAUUUUAAUACAUGGUUACGUUUUACGUACCAGAAUACGUCCACAAAAUACUAAAAGCAUUUUAAAAAUUUUCCUGAAAUUUGAUGGUACUGGUAAGGGGUUUAGCUCUACAUCACUGAUAUAAUAUAAACAACUUGUUUGUAUACUGUCGUGUAAUCAUAAUAUGAAUACUUUUAUACUCGUACACGUAUACUGAAACAAAACACACACACUCAAUAAUACAAAGUGUUCGAUGCGGUUCGUGAAAAACUUGUAUCGUGCAUUAUAAUAUUAUAUUAUGAUGUACAUUGUACCUACAUGAAGUCAAUGUCACCCGGAAUGGCAAAAUUUAUUUGAAAAAAACUCGUUUUUUCCUCCUGCAGUAUAUUAUCUUUCAGCGAGUUCAAAUUAAAUUUUUUUCUAUUUCGUAUAUUAUUAUUACACAUAAAAUGUAUAAAUCAGCGAAAUCAUCGUCACUCGGUUUUUCUCCGAGUGCUGACUGAUCAAUUUCGUUCGAAAACUCCCUUCAUAUAAUAUAUAAGUAUAUAUAUAUUUACUUAUAUAUUAUUAUCAUUGUAUUUAGGCGCAGUAGGUGUAUAUAUAUAUAUGUUAUAUAUUAUAAUAAUAUAUCUAUUGAGAAAUGAAUAAACACGAAAACGAGCUCGCCAUUUUACAUUCGAAUCGUCGCUAUUCCAGAAAACCAUAACGGUGCAGCAAUGACCGUAAUGUAAUAAAUUGUUCGCGCGUGACUCAAACGUCAAUUUUACUGCAAUGCCUAAAGUUACACACUUUUAGGCGAGCCUUAAAACAAUAAACAGGGUGAUUCACCAAGGCUGUUAAUCUUCGUUUUUUCCUUUAAUAUUAACUAAUUUAAAUAAUGAUUUCUGGAAAUUAGUAAGUAGGUACCUAACAUUAUACCCAUAACCUUAACAUUUCGAUUUUUAUAAUAAUUUAAGAAGAGUCUUGUGUUGAUAAGUACAAACUUCUUUUUUCCUAAUGAGAGAACUAACCUAACCUAAUAUUAUUUUACUGUAAAUUAUUAAGCCGAUUAAUUUUUUAUGAAAAUAUAAAUGUACUUAGGUAUCUAAAUCAAAUUUCAAACGUGAGUAAUUCCUUAUUCUAAUCACAGUUUCUAAUUUCUAUAUUAAGAUAAUAAUAUUCCUUAAAAAUGGAUUUACAAAAAUAUAAAAUUGACAUUAUGUUGGAUCUAGUAUUUUUUAUACAUCGCGGAAGUAUUGCGAAAGCAUUUCCCGCGGCGCCGUCGGUUCAAA
Long non-coding RNA from Acyrthosiphon pisum (pea aphid), 6275 nucleotides. RefSeq lists it as uncharacterized. NCBI's taxonomy places the organism in Eukaryota, Metazoa, Arthropoda, Insecta, Hemiptera, Aphididae. The transcript has 2 exons. The record is from RefSeq and is a predicted model, not a curated record.